CUGGGGAGUACGNCCGCAANUUAAACUCAAANGAAUUGCGGGGCCCGCNCAANCGGUGGAGCAUGUGGUUUANUUCGAUGCACGCGAAGACCUUACCUGCUCUUGACAUCCAGAGAACUUAGCAGAGAUGCUUUGGUNCCUUCGGGACUCUGAGACAGGUGNUGCAUGGCUGUCGUCAGCUCGUGUUGUGAAAUGUUGGGUUAAGUCCCGCAACGAGCGCACCCUUAUCCUUUGUUGCCAGCGGUUCGGCCGGGAACUCAAAGGAGACUGCCAGUGAUAAACUGGAGGAAGGUGGGGAUGACGUCAAGUCAUCAUGGCCCUUACGAGUAGGGCUACACACGUGCUACAAUGGCAUAUACAAAGAGAAGCGACCUCGCGAGAGCAAGCGGACCUCAUAAAGUAUGUCGUAGUCCGGAUUGGAGUCUGCAACUCGACUCCAUGAAGUCGGAAUCGCUAGUAAUCGUGGAUCAGAAUGCCGACGGUGAAUACGUUCCCGGGCCUUGUACNCACCGCCCGUCCCACCAUGGGAGUGGGUU
This 536-nucleotide ribosomal RNA is filed under the name Salmonella enterica. RNAcentral's name for it is "bacterial SSU rRNA". It matches the Rfam family "Bacterial small subunit ribosomal RNA", at positions 873 to 1416 of the family's 1533-position model. The record is from RNAcentral. Lineage: Bacteria; Pseudomonadati; Pseudomonadota; Gammaproteobacteria; Enterobacterales; Enterobacteriaceae.